GAGGGUACAGCUCAAGUGGUAGAGUACAUGCUUAGCAUGCAUGAGGUCCAGGGUUCAAUCCCCAGUGUCUCCA
RNAcentral lists this transfer RNA (73 nucleotides) under Camelus bactrianus (Bactrian camel). It matches the Rfam family "tRNA". Rfam says of the family: Transfer RNA (tRNA) molecules are approximately 80 nucleotides in length. Their secondary structure includes four short double-helical elements and three loops (D, anti-codon, and T loops). The record is from Rfam by way of RNAcentral. RNAcentral also lists the same sequence under 2 other names. Lineage: Eukaryota; Metazoa; Chordata; Mammalia; Artiodactyla; Camelidae.